RNAcentral lists this long non-coding RNA (1184 nucleotides) under Parus major (Great Tit). Its description in RNAcentral is "lncRNA (ENSPMJG00000011292.1)". The record is from RNAcentral. Lineage: Eukaryota; Metazoa; Chordata; Aves; Passeriformes; Paridae.
CAGCAUUUACUUUGGUAUUCCUGAUGUGUGUCCUAGUAAAUCACUAUUUCCUAAGAGGCAAUUAUCCUGUUGGGGUGCUGGGCAACAAUUCUUCCAUCUACACAUUCAAGUGGUGUUCUCAUGUUUGGGUUCAUACACCUCAAUAAAAUUUUAACUACACAGAUUUAGGGUUUCUGUAGUAUGUAGUUCUGCAUAUAGUAAUAAUUAUUCCUAAUGUUGCUUUAUCAAUGAAAUACUUAAUUUUCAUUGUUUAUAACUCUGCUAAAUUAAAAAAAUGUCAAAUUAUGUUUUCAUUUCAGCUGUUUCUCCUGCUAACCCUACAUCAAGGGACUUUACUUUAGAUUUAACUGUCUGAAGAUUAAUUUGCACAGAUUUGGUCACACAAAAGAAAUACCUCACCUGUUUUACUGUAGCUGUCUCUCCUAAUUUCCAGGGGCUCCUUUGGCAACAAAACCAAAAGAAGGAAGAAUCUCCUGUAAUGUUAAUUAAUCUUUAGCCUACUGGUGUCUGAUGAACACAUGGGAAAGAACAGCUGGUCUCAGUGCAAGAUACAUGGGCUUAGUGAUGAGGAAAAGGUAACAGAGAAGAUGAAUUUCCAGGACUGGAAAAUAGGACAGCAAAGAAUGGAUUUGGAGCAUGAAAAGAUGGAGGAUUAUGGCCAGACAUUGGAGAGAGACAAGGGUUGAGCCAUGUGACUUGGCACACUCAGACACAGAGGAAGCUAUGCUGGUUCCAGUGAUUCUGUGGCUGCUUCAAAGCAUGAUAAAUCAGGCUAUGCCUGGAGAUGGUUACAGUCUGAAGGCCUCCUGGUUAUUAAAAUGAGAUCAAUAAUUUUUAAGCAAGCAAUAUUUGAAAAAUGGUUGAGCUGAAUCUGAAAUCAAUUAGUAUAAAAUAUUAUACUGGGCAUUUUAACACAAAAGGGGAGGGUCUAUUGAUAAAACUUGUUCAUCAAGAAUGAAAUGGAUUUUCAGGCUGAGCUGCACUAAUUUCAACACAGCUACAACAAAUUACUCAGUCUGUCUCUGAAGAGAAAAAUCAGUUACUUCAGUUUAUAGUGUGUAAACAUUUGAUAAACAAAAAUCCUAACUAGAUACUCUAAAAUGAUAACUUCAAGGAAUAUGAUGGAGAUGCAUUUAGACAGUUGUCAUGUGUUUAAAAUCUGAAUAAACAUCAGAUAUUAAUCA